GCGUUGGUUUAGCUCAGUGGUUACUUCCGAUUGAUCGAAAAAUCACCAUCUCAUGGUCUCCGGGAAACCGGUGACCUGAGAUCGAACCACGGGCGCUGUCCAACGUUUUU
This is a vault RNA of Cyprinus carpio carpio, 110 nucleotides long. Its record names the gene Vault. It matches the Rfam family "Vault RNA". Rfam says of the family: This family of RNAs are found as part of the enigmatic vault ribonucleoprotein complex. The complex consists of a major vault protein (MVP), two minor vault proteins (VPARP and TEP1), and several small untranslated RNA molecules. It has been suggested that the vault complex is involved in drug resistance. The record is from Ensembl. Lineage: Eukaryota; Metazoa; Chordata; Actinopteri; Cypriniformes; Cyprinidae.